This 434-nucleotide ribosomal RNA is filed under the name uncultured Ruminococcus sp. RNAcentral describes it as "partial 16S ribosomal RNA". It matches the Rfam family "Bacterial small subunit ribosomal RNA", at positions 341 to 792 of the family's 1533-position model. Lineage: Bacteria; Bacillati; Bacillota; Clostridia; Eubacteriales; Oscillospiraceae. The record is from RNAcentral.
ACGGAAGGCAGCAGUGGGGAAUAUUGCACAAUGGGCGCAAGCCUGAUGCGGCGAUGCCGCGUGAGGGAAGUAGGUUUUCGGAUUGUAAACCUCUGUCAACAGGGACGAAAAUGACGGUACCUGUGAAGAAAGCUCCGGCUAACUACGUGCCAGCAGCCGCGGUAAUACGUAGGGAGCAAGCGUUAUCCGGAAUUACUGGGUGUAAAGGGAGUGUAGGCGGGACUGUAAGUCAGAUGUGAAAUAUGCCGGCUCAACUGGCAGACUGCAUUUGAAACUGCGGUUCUUGAGUGAAGUAGAGGUAAGCGGAAUCCCUAGUGUAGCGGUGAAAUGCGUAGAUAUUAGGAGGAACAUCAGUGGCGAAGGCGGCUUACUGGGCUUUAACUGACGUUGAGGCUCGAAAGCGUGGGGAGCAAACAGGAUUAGAUACCCUGGUA